UUUUAUCAUAAACAAAACAAGUUACUCGUAGUUUUAAGUGUUGGAUCCUUGGAAGUACUUCGAUUCUGAUUCUGUGACUGUAGCUUCUUUAAUGUCUUAGUGAAUUUCUCCAGGAGGAGGCUGUGGGAAACUGUAUCCAAAGCCUUGGACAAAUCCAGGUAGACAAUGUCCACUGCUUGCCCCACAUCAACCAAGCAGGUUACUUGGUCGUAGAAGAUGAUCAGGUUUGUCAAGCGCGAUUUACCCUUGGUGAAUCUGUGCUGGCUUUUCCCAAUCAUGUGCUUCAUUUGAGUUGUAGUAGCCCCCAGGAGGAUUUGUUCCAUAACUUUAACAGCGACUGAAGUAAGGCUGGCCUUAAUGUACUUGGAUUUCUUCCUAGUGUAAAUUUAGCUCUGGAUGCUCUUGUUUCAUAGAGCUUAGUUUUAGGAUAACAAGAGCUUCUCUAUUUCACCCUGCUCUCUAUUUUAGAGAUGAGUGCUAUCGUCCUCUUAGUUGUGUUGACUUGAAUUGGUUUCUUUGGAAUAUGGCUCUGUCUAGGUCAGACGACUUUUCCUUGGUGCUGUGGGAUUUGGGAUUAGCACUUUUAUGAAAAGCAUGGGUUUGAUUUACACCAUCCCCUUUGCCAGGUUUUUCGCUCUUUCACCUUUAGUUUUUACCAUGAUAUUCAUUUAGGAAUAUUUAAUAAGAGCUCUUUGAAUGGAAUCAAACUCUUAACUUGUCAAAGGAACAAGUUUUCCUUUCAAAGCUUUCACAAAGCACCUAAAUGCAGUCUUCUAGUUCUCUGAUUCUCAGCUCUGCUAUUGUAUAGAGUUUGGAUGUUUUGAAAGCUUUCAGAAACCUGAUGUACACAAAUUUACUUAGCCUAUGCUACACACUGCAAUUUAACAAUAUCAAACUCAAAAGAAGCUUUUCUUCCUAAGAUUUGUUGUUAUUCAAAUGGACAGAAUAACAAAUAAGAUCUCUAAACCUUGGAAGUAAAGAGCCCAAAAUGUAUUUACCGUGCUGCCUUAGGAAAAAUAAUUGCAGAAAUGUGUAAGGAGCAUUUCUAUUUCUGUAGUACUUCAGAACACUCAUCUUCUUUUUUGUUUCUUUGCCUUGAGCACUGACCAGUCUUUACUGAAAUUUUUUCUUCUCUAAAUGUUGAUUAGAUAAUUUUGUUUGUUAAGUUUAAGAUUUGGGUUUUGGGGUUGUUGUUGAGGUUUUUUUGGUUGGUUGGUCUUAAUGGUUUGAUGGGGUUGGUUUUUUUUUUUUCAUUGUCAAUUUUAUACAUUUCUGGUUAUUAAUAGCAAUUUCUGCCAGUUGUGAGACCAGAUACUACUUUGAUCUCUAUUACAUUUUUCCAUUGCCUGUGAAUAACUUCUGGAUUAUUGUACCAAAACAGCCUUUUUACACUGUAUACUGCAUGCGAUAAUAAGCCAGGAUUUCGAGUGGUAAGAAUGAGUGGAUGGAGAAUGUUAUAUGAUGUAAUUUCUCAUUUGUCGGUUCUGUUCUGUUGGUAGGGUAGCCAUGUUGCUGUUGUAACUGUUUUAAUAUAGUUUUUCUGGAUUAUCUUUGAUUUUAAUGUGUAAUCUAGUCUGUAAGCAAGCCAAAAAUUUUUAGCUAGCUGGAUUAUUCCAGCAACCAAAAGCUCCCAUUGCUUUAUCUCUUGUACUGUAACUUCAAGAGCAGUCUUUCAUAUUUGGGCUGUUUUCUUCUGAAAGUGAAGCCAUGUUUAAAUUUUUAAAGGCACUCACAAGUGUGAAAUCUGUGGGGUCUCUGAAUGUGUAGACAAAAUAUUUAAGACUAUUUUUUCCAGGCUGAACAGAUGAAUCUGAAAGAAUGUUAAUGUUGUGUAAGGAAAAUACACUGAGUAGGAAGUGGGAGAGGCAGAUAAUCGUAAUUUUAC
Molecule: long non-coding RNA, 1885 nt
Organism: Strigops habroptila (Kakapo)
Lineage: Eukaryota; Metazoa; Chordata; Aves; Psittaciformes; Psittacidae
Exons: 2
Source: RefSeq, a predicted model, not a curated record